Molecule: ribosomal RNA, 404 nt
Filed under: Actinomycetes bacterium
Lineage: Bacteria; Bacillati; Actinomycetota; Actinomycetes
Description: Actinobacteria bacterium partial 16S ribosomal RNA
Rfam family: Bacterial small subunit ribosomal RNA
Source: RNAcentral
UGGGGAAUAUUGGACAAUGGGCGCAAGCCUGAUCCAGCCAUGCCGCGUGAGUGAUGAAGGCCCUAGGGUUGUAAAGCUCUUUCACCGGUGAAGAUAAUGACGGUAACCGGAGAAGAAGCCCCGGCUAACUUCGUGCCAGCAGCCGCGGUAAUACGAAGGGGGCUAGCGUUGUUCGGAUUUACUGGGCGUAAAGCGCACGUAGGCGGACUUUUAAGUCAGGGGUGAAAUCCCGGGGCUCAACCCCGGAACUGCCUUUGAUACUGGAAGUCGUGAGUAUGGUAGAGGUGAGUGGAAGUCCGAGUGUAGAGGUGAAAUUCGUAGAUAUUCGGAGGAACACCAGUGGCGAAGGCGGCUCACUGGACCAUUACUGACGCUGAGGUGCGAAAGCGUGGGGAGCAAACAGG